UUCCGGUUGAUCCUGCCGGACCCGACUGCUAUUUGGGUGAGGAUAAGCCAUGCGAGUUGAAUGGGAAACCUAAAGUUCCCAUGGCAAACUGCUCAGUAACACAUGAUCAACUUACCCUAUAGAGAAAAAUAACCUCGGGAAACUGAGGAUAAUGUUUCAUAGUUGAAUUGGCUUGGAAAAGUUUUUCGACGAAAGGGGUAAAAAAAAUGGUUUUUAUCUGCUAUAGGAUAGGAUCGUGUUCGAUUAUGGUUGUUGGUGAGGUAAUGGCUCACCAAGCCGAUAAUCGAUAGGGGCCGUGAGAGCGGGAGCCCCGAGAUGGGUACUGAGACAACGACCCAGGCCUUACGAGGCGCAGCAGGCGCGAAACCUCCGCAAUACACGAAAGUGUGACGGGGUUACUCAAAGUGUUCAAUUUUGAACUGUGGUAGGUGAGUAAUGUUCCCUACUAGAAAGGAGAGGGCAAGGCUGGUGCCAGCCGCCGCGGUAAAACCAGCUCUUCAAGUGGUCGGGAUAAUUAUUGGGCUUAAAGUGUCCGUAGCCGGUUUAGUAAGUUCUUGGUAAAAUCGGGUAGCUUAACUAUCUAUAUGCUAGGAAUACUACUAUACUAGAGGGCGGGAGAGGUCUGAGGUACUGCAGGGGUAGGGGUGAAAUCUUAUAAUCCUUGUUGGACCACCAGUGGCGAAGGCGUCAGACUGGAACGCGCCUGACGGUGAGGGACGAAAGCCAGGGGAGCGAACCGGAUUAGAUACCCGGGUAGUCCUGGCCGUAAACGAUGCAUACUAGGUGAUGGCACGGCCAUGAGCCGUGUCAGUGCCGUAGGGAAACCGUUAAGUGUGCCGCCUGGGAAGUACGGUCGCAAGGCUAAAACUUAAAGGAAUUGGCGGGGGAGCACCACAAGGGGUGAAGCCUACGGUUCAAUUGGACUCAACGCCGGU
Molecule: ribosomal RNA, 935 nt
Filed under: uncultured archaeon
Lineage: Archaea
Description: bacterial SSU rRNA
Rfam family: Archaeal small subunit ribosomal RNA
Source: RNAcentral